CAAAAUAAAAUCAAUUUAAUUUUUGACACAUUUCCUUCCAUCGAUGUUUGUAUCAUUAUUUGAUACAUUGCCAUUUUAAUUGAUUUAUUCCCGAAAAAUAGCAUGUGUUAUGUAUUGUUUACCCCCUGUCAGUAGCCCCCGAAAAUGUAACUCGAGUAUAAAAGACCGUGCGUGACUGUAUGGAGACUCAUACACGUGUAGCACUUCAAAUUAGUCUUGGGAAAGAGAAAAAGUCUUUUAAAGUUUAAUUUAGUAACUGGAAGGCAUUUUGAAGUAAUGUACAUCACUACAUGUGUAUGUAUAUAAUUUUGUUUUCAGUUUGUACCCCAAGUGACCUUCUGUGGUUACAGAAAUUCAUGAGUUAAGAAACCUAUGAGAACUGGCAACAAGAAAGAUGACAAAUACUACAGUGUCUAAGGCAACAGGAUCAGGUGAAAAAAGUGAACUUCCAGCUCAAAGUGUUCCCACAUCAAGAAGGUGUCAAGUUAAAGAUGCAACAAUGAUAGAACAGGUGACUUGAAUAAAGACAAAUGGUUAGAAGGCCAAAAAAGGCUAUGUGCUGGAAUAUGUUACAGGAAAAGAUGAGGAAUAUG
This is a long non-coding RNA of Mizuhopecten yessoensis (Yesso scallop), 593 nucleotides long. RefSeq lists it as uncharacterized. The record is from RefSeq and is a predicted model, not a curated record. NCBI's taxonomy places the organism in Eukaryota, Metazoa, Mollusca, Bivalvia, Pectinida, Pectinidae. The transcript has 3 exons.